RNAcentral lists this long non-coding RNA (300 nucleotides) under Elaeis guineensis (African oil palm). RNAcentral describes it as "long non-coding RNA (EGUI_LNC060992)". The record is from RNAcentral. Lineage: Eukaryota; Viridiplantae; Streptophyta; Magnoliopsida; Arecales; Arecaceae.
GGUCACUACUCCGAGCUUUUACAGUAAGAAAUUUCUAUCCGAGCUUCCAUGACAACCGAUCUUCGACCGAGCUUCUACAAUAAGUGGCCUCCUUUUAGCCUGCUACAAGAACCAGGCUUCAUCCAAACUUUCAUAGCGAUGGAUUCCGGACGAGCUGUUACAACAGACGAGCUCCAGCAGCUGGACUUCUACAACGGCCAAUCGCCUCCGGUGUCUGUCGAACCUCCCCAGCCAUCAGCCUUCAAUAGCAUCAGCCAGACUUUCACAACGUCAUCCAGACUUCCGCAGGAUCUCCAGACU